ACGGGUGAGUAAUGCCUAGGAAUCUGCCUGGUAGUGGGGGACAACGUUUCGAAAGGAACGCUAAUACCGCAUACGUCCUACGGGAGAAAGCAGGGACCUUCGGGCCUUGCGCUAUCAGAUGAGCCUAGGUCGGAUUAGCUAGUUGGUGAGGUAAUGGCUCACCAAGGCGACGAUCCGUAGCUGGUCUGAGAGGAUGAUCAGUCACACUGGAACUGAGACACGGUCCAGACUCCUACGGGAGGCAGCAGCG
Molecule: ribosomal RNA, 250 nt
Filed under: uncultured Pseudomonas sp.
Lineage: Bacteria; Pseudomonadati; Pseudomonadota; Gammaproteobacteria; Pseudomonadales; Pseudomonadaceae
Description: partial 16S ribosomal RNA
Rfam family: Bacterial small subunit ribosomal RNA
Source: RNAcentral